This 563-nucleotide long non-coding RNA is filed under the name Homo sapiens (human). Its description in RNAcentral is "HSALNT0376587". Lineage: Eukaryota; Metazoa; Chordata; Mammalia; Primates; Hominidae. The record is from RNAcentral.
UAAAUAUAUAUGUACAAUACAUAUUUAAUACACACAUUCUACUGCAACUUGCUUUUUCACUCAGCAAUUUUUAUUUACAAUCUAGUGGAAAGAGAAUGGUGAGAACAGCAGGAGGUAUUUGAGUGUUACCUUAAGGUUCAAGCUUCUCUGAGAUUGCAAACUACCUCUCCCUACAAAAAAGUCAAGAUAUUUAUGCAUCAAUACCCCUUAGCAAUGUGACUGUUGGUAAUCACAUCAAAAGGAUAUAAUUCUUCCUGGAACUUGAAUGGGAACCUCGUUGUGAAUAAAAAGAGUUAGAGAGAUUAUAUUGCCACCAUGGAAGAGGAGGAGCUGGAAGGAGAUUCUGAAGCCUUGGGACAAAGCUGGUGCUGCGGCAGUCAGAGCAGAGAGACAGAAUGAUGCCACUGAUUGCUGUGCUUUUGGAGACUGUUCUACUUCUGAAUUUCCAAUUCAGUGAAAUAAUGCCUGUCCUCAUUUAUUAGCCUUUUAGAGUUGGGUUUUCUGGUUUGCUUUGUUUAAAGUAUUCAAAAUGGCACAUACUUCUACUUAGCUUUAAUGUUUCU